CAGUCGCCACGGGAAUACGUAGGUGGCAAGCGUUGUCCGGAAUUAUUGGGCGUAAAGGGCUCGCAGGCGGUUUCUUAAGUCUGAUGUGAAAGCCCCCGGCUCAACCGGGGAGGGUCAUUGGAAACUAGGAAACUUGAGUGCAGAAGAGGAGAGUGGAAUUCCACGUGUAGCGGUGAAAUGCGUAGAGAUGUGGAGGAACACCAGUGGCGAAGGCGACUCUCUGGUCUGUAACUGACGCUGAGGAGCGAAAGCGUGGGGAGCGAACAGGAUUAGAUACCCCUGUAGUCCCUGUCUCUUAUAC
Molecule: ribosomal RNA, 301 nt
Filed under: uncultured bacterium
Lineage: Bacteria
Description: partial 16S ribosomal RNA
Rfam family: Bacterial small subunit ribosomal RNA
Source: RNAcentral